Molecule: ribosomal RNA, 484 nt
Filed under: uncultured bacterium
Lineage: Bacteria
Description: partial 16S ribosomal RNA
Rfam family: Bacterial small subunit ribosomal RNA
Source: RNAcentral
AUUGAACGCUGGCGGCAGGCCUAACACAUGCAAGUCGAGCGGAUGAAGGGAGCUUGCUCCUGGAUUCAGCGGCGGACGGGUGGGUAAUGCCUAGGAAUCUGCCUGGUAGUGGGGGAUAACGUCCGGAAACGGGCGCUAAUACCGCAUACGUCCAGAGGGAGAAAGUGGGGGAUCUUCGGACCUCACGCUAUCAGAUGAGCCUAGGUCGGAUUAGCUAGUUGGUGGGGUAAAGGCCUACCAAGGCGACGAUCCGUAACUGGUCUGAGAGGAUGAUCAGUCACACUGGAACUGAGACACGGACCAGACUCCUACGGGAGGCAGCAGUGGGGAAUAUUGGACAAUGGGCGAAAGCCUGACCCAGCCAUGCCGCGUGUGUGAAGAAGGUCUUCGGAUUGUAAAGCACUUUUAGUUGGGAGGAAGGGCAGUAAGAUAAUACCUUGCUGUUUUGACGUUACCAACAGAAUAAGCACCGGCUAACUUCGUG